This 442-nucleotide ribosomal RNA is filed under the name uncultured Anaerovorax sp. Its description in RNAcentral is "bacterial SSU rRNA". It matches the Rfam family "Bacterial small subunit ribosomal RNA", at positions 338 to 795 of the family's 1533-position model. The record is from RNAcentral. Lineage: Bacteria; Bacillati; Bacillota; Clostridia; Peptostreptococcales; Anaerovoracaceae.
CCUACGGGCGGCUGCAGUGGGGAAUAUUGCACAAUGGGCGAAAGCCUGAUGCAGCAACGCCGCGUGAGCGAUGAAGGCCUUUGGGUCGUAAAGCUCUGUCCUUGGGGAAGAAACAAAUGACGGUACCCUUGGAGGAAGCCCCGGCUAACUACGUGCCAGCAGCCGCGGUAAUACGUAGGGGGCGAGCGUUAUCCGGAAUUAUUGGGCGUAAAGAGUGCGUAGGUGGCCAUGUAAGCGCGGGGUGAAAGGCAAUAGCUUAACUAUUGUAAGCCUUGCGAACUGUGUGGCUUGAGUGCAGGAGAGGAAAGUGGAAUUCCUAGUGUAGCGGUGAAAUGCGUAGAUAUUAGGAGGAACACCAGUGGCGAAGGCGACUUUCUGGACUGUAACUGACACUGAGGCACGAAAGCGUGGGGAGCAAACAGGAUUAGAUACCCGUGUAGUC